Molecule: microRNA precursor, 84 nt
Filed under: Bombyx mori (domestic silkworm)
Lineage: Eukaryota; Metazoa; Arthropoda; Insecta; Lepidoptera; Bombycidae
Description: mir-2807 microRNA precursor family
Rfam family: mir-2807 microRNA precursor family
Source: Rfam by way of RNAcentral
UUAAAUCAAAUUUGUAUGGAGUUGGAACGUUUGCCUACGUUUGCCGCUAGGGGCGCUGUUCCAACUGCAUACAAAUUUGAGUUA